GUAAUGGUAGUUCAGUGGUAGAACUCUUGUCUUCCAUGAGGAAGACCCGGGUUUGAUUCCUGGCCAAUGCA
Molecule: transfer RNA, 71 nt
Filed under: Loxodonta africana (African savanna elephant)
Lineage: Eukaryota; Metazoa; Chordata; Mammalia; Proboscidea; Elephantidae
Rfam family: tRNA
About the family: Transfer RNA (tRNA) molecules are approximately 80 nucleotides in length.
Source: Rfam by way of RNAcentral